UACAGAGGUGGCAAGCGUUGUUCGGAAUUACUGGGCGUAAAGGGCGCGUAGGCGGCCUUCUAAGUCGGACGUGAAAGCCCCAAGCUUAACCUGGGAACUGCGUCCGAUACUGGAAGGCUUGGAUUCGGGAGAGGGAUGUGGAAUUCCAGGUGUAGCGGUGAAAUGCGUAGAUAUCUGGAGGAACACCGGUGGCGAAGGCGGCAUCCUGGACCGGUAUUGACACUGAGGCGCGAAAGCCAGGGGAGCAAACGGG
Molecule: ribosomal RNA, 253 nt
Filed under: uncultured bacterium
Lineage: Bacteria
Description: partial 16S ribosomal RNA
Rfam family: Bacterial small subunit ribosomal RNA
Source: RNAcentral